GACGAACGCUGGCGGCGUGCUUAACACAUGCAAGUCGAACGGAAAGGCCCUGCUUGCAGGGUACUCGAGUGGCGAACGGGUGAGUAACACGUGCGUGAUCUGCCCUGCACUUCGGGAUAAGCCUGGGAAACUGGGUCUAAUACCGGAUAGGUGCCAUUUUUAGUGUGAUGGUUUGAAAGUUUUUUCGGUGUAUGAUGAGCUCGCGGCCUAUCAGCUUGUUUGUGGGGUAAUGGCCUACCAAGGCGGCGACGGGUAGCCGGCCUGAGAGGGUGGACGGCCACAUUGGGACUGAGAUACGGCGCAGACUCGUACGGGAGGCAGCAGUGGGGAAUAUUGCACAAUGAGCGCAAGCCUGAUGCAGCGACGCCGCGUGGGGGAUGACGGCCUUCGGGUUGUAAACUCCUUUCGCUAGGGACGAAGCUUUUUGUGACGGUAACUAGAUAAGAAGCACCGGCUAACUACGUG
Molecule: ribosomal RNA, 465 nt
Filed under: uncultured bacterium
Lineage: Bacteria
Description: partial 16S ribosomal RNA
Rfam family: Bacterial small subunit ribosomal RNA
Source: RNAcentral